Molecule: long non-coding RNA, 3179 nt
Organism: Nicotiana attenuata
Lineage: Eukaryota; Viridiplantae; Streptophyta; Magnoliopsida; Solanales; Solanaceae
Exons: 3
Source: RefSeq, a predicted model, not a curated record
AAAAAGAAACCUAUUCCCUUCUGCCAAUACGUGUUUUGCCAAAAAAGAAAACAAAACCUAUUCCCUUUCGAUAGUCUCUAGACUGCGAAAUUGCUCCAAUUAACAGUCUCUGGUUAACAAAAUUGCUGCAGCCUGCGACAGUCUCUGCCCUGCCACAGCUCCGAUGAUCUUCUUCCCAAAUCCUAGGUGGACCCUUUUAUGGGAGCUCUAUAAAACCAAAAUAUAAGAUUGAACUUCUUCCGUAAGAUUCACCUUUUCAUCCGGUAAGUUGCUUGUCAUGUCUUUUACUUUUUGAAGUUCGAUUAGACGCCUCUCAUAAACUUUGUAUGCCAUUGAAAAUUUAAGAUUUUGAUGCUUUUACAUAUGAAAGAAGUUACUGAAAUAGUAUAGAUCCAUGUUUGUGGAAAUUGGGACCUAAUGUCACCUCUUAGUCUCGCUCACACAGGAUCAUCCAAGAGUUUCAUUUCAUUUGGAAGAAUCACUGGUCUUAAUUUGUAAAAUGAAAUGGCAUAUUUAGAUACAUCAUGCAGGCUAGACUUCUCUUUUUCUUUCAUAAGAACCAAGUUCACUGUACAUGCCACAAGUAGUAUUCAUGCUUCAUCAUUGUUUAGUUUUUCUUAGAUAAGACCGCUAAUUUAUGCUUUAGUGUUGUCAAAAGCGAAAAGCUCUAAAAAGCGUUCCAGGUCGAUUCGGGCUUCAAAUGAAAAGCGCAACUAAAGUACGGGAUUUAGUUAAAAAAAAAGGUGCAACUUAGGGGAAAAAAUAAAAUACAUAUGUAAUUCAAGAAAGAAGUAACAAACCCAUUCCUAAUUUCUUUGUCAACAACUAAUGUACUUAUUUGUUGAUAAUAUUUAUCGUUUAGCACCACUCGAUUCAAGAUAGAACUCAUAGAAAAUGAGGCGUACACCUUAGUGCUUUGCCUACAUUGAAGCGCAACAUAAGCAAGGCGAAGCACCCUCCCUGAGCUUUUCUGAGCUUCAGUGCUUAAGCGCGCCUUAAAUGAGCCUUUGACAACACAUGCUUAAAUUGUUUGUAUAUAAUAUACCUAUCCGUUGUUUAACACCAUUCAAAUGAGACAACAAUUAAUGCUUAAAUUGUUUUAGAACUUGUCCAUUGUUUACUGUAAAACUUAUAAUUUUCUUUAUAUUUCUCCUUCUUUUGAUACGUCUUUGACUUCCACAGUUAAUACUUUUAAGGGGAUUGGUUAUUGUUGUAGUAUUUUGACUUGGCUUAGAAUUUUGUGGUUAAUUUUAAUAUGCUAUGUUGGAGUUUUGAUACAUAAAAACAGUGAAGCCUGCUACAUAGGUUGCCACUUCAUUUUCCGUAUUUGAACUUAAGAAUAAGAGGUAUAAAUAAAGAAAAGCUAGGAAAAUGCCUUGAUCUACACAUGCUCAAAUUGUAUUAGAACUUUCUAAUCCAAUUUUAUAAAUAGAAAGUUUCUCAGUUAUAUUGUAGAUCAUCAGACUAAGCAAAUUAAGUAUAUUUGGCUGCAUGUUCUUUUUAUCUGGUAAGUAAAAGGAAAGCAGCUAUAGGCGAAUCAUUUUGCUAGAUCCAGAAAAGCUACAUUUGACCUAGAAAUUGCCUAAGCUUUUAAGCGUCUCUAUUUCAUUCAACAUUUGUUAUAUCCACGUGCCAACAUUGUCAUGGUAAAAAGUAGGAAUAAUUUUAUUAAGUUGCGUCUCUUUGUUUUUCCUUAACGAAAUCUUUUCCUCUUUUUUCCCGUAUUUCAUGUUGUAAAAUAUAUUCAUAAAUGUGUUAAUUUCUAUUUUUUUUCCUUCUAGCACAAUCUCAGUAUCCUUCAAUAUAAUUUCGAGGAUUGUUGGAAUAAGUUGGAUGUAAGGAUGGUGCUAAAAACUUGGCAUGCUAGAAUGAAGAUAAAAUGUGAAGGCCGAAGACAUAGCUUUGUAUUCUGGUCUUAACAAAGUAAAUUGAUCCAUUGAAGAGCAUUCUUAAAGUGGGUUGAAAAGCAUUCUGAAGGUGAGUAAUAAGAGAAUGUAUAAUGAACUCAUAACAAAAAAAGAAUACUUAAGUGAGGAUCCAAGCUUCUGGGCCAUACAUUGAUCACUAGAAUAAUAAAUAAUUUGUUAGAGCAAAGAACUAAUUUGAGAACCCAAAUAUUUAGAAUUUGAAGAUGUAAUUGGAAGGAUUUACAGCAUUAAAGUAGUUAUAGGUAUUUGUAGCUAGAAAUGUUGCGGCCACAGUGAUAGCAAGGAGUGCCAAAAGGAAAACAAAAGCAACCAACAUGGUCUUGCCUAUACCUUGUGUUACGAUAUUGGACAACAAGAAGAAAAUUGACACCUAAGGCUUGGAGCAGAGGAUAAGAGAGGACAAGGGGAGUUCACUAAUUCUUUAUUACAUAAACACACAAGAUGUAGGGAAUUCUAUCCAUAUUUGAUAAUUUCAAAUAUUAUACACGGGGAAUGAAAAGAUGGACUAUACCAUAUUUACUGGAUUUGCUUAUUUUUGCACAGAUACAUUCACUAAAACAAGUCAAAGAAGCCUCUGAAAGAUGUUUCAUUUAGUAAAUGGUGCAAAGGAAUGUUGUAAAAUUGCAUGAUUUCGAAUAUGAAGUAGGUUCUGGAAUAAGUGAUUGUCCGUGUUCUCUGAAUAUACUCUGGUCUUAGAUGUUUCAUUGUUUCAUCUUCUUGCUGUUUUUACUGUGCAUAAACUGAGGUUUUAUUAUGAUAUUGUUAACAAAUGAGACAAUUCAUGCGCAAAUAUGCUCCUAAUGUAUCUAUGACUCAAAGCAAUGGCACCUCAUGUGAACAGGUAACUCCCUUACAUAAGCUUUAGACAUUUUUAAUGAAAUUCUGAUCAUAUAAAACUAUUAUUAUCUAACAUGUUAAUAUUUAUUAGAUCCUUGACGCCAACAAUGGACGUGAACGAGUACCACAAACAUCAAGGAUACCUAGAGUUGUUGAAAAUGCCCAACCUUCUCACGGUCAUAUAGUUUGAUGUUCGAUGAUUUAGCAGGUGGAAGAUUCAAAAUGAUGAAAAGUUGCGGAAAUCAUUUAAAUACCAUCAUUUCGUCUGGAUUAGUUAUAUAAUGACAUUAGCUAUUUAGUUCAAAAAAUAUAAGUUUAGUUACUAUGACAUCAAUAUUUUUUAUUAGUACUUCCUUUUGUUUGUAAAGAUUUAAUGAGGUAUAUUUUUUUUGUUACUAUUAAUAUUUUUUAUUA